UACGUAGGGCGCGAGCGUUGUCCGGAAUUAUUGGGCGUAAAGAGCUUGUAGGCGGUUUGUCGCGUCUGCUGUGAAAGGCCGGGGCUUAACCCCGUGUAUUGCAGUGGGUACGGGCAGACUAGAGUGCAGUAGGGGAGACUGGAAUUCCUGGUGUAGCGGUGGAAUGCGCAGAUAUCAGGAGGAACACCGAUGGCGAAGGCAGGUCUCUGGGCUGUAACUGACGCUGAGAAGCGAAAGCAUGGGGAGCGAACAG
This 253-nucleotide ribosomal RNA is filed under the name uncultured bacterium. RNAcentral describes it as "partial 16S ribosomal RNA". It matches the Rfam family "Bacterial small subunit ribosomal RNA", at positions 524 to 775 of the family's 1533-position model. The record is from RNAcentral.